CCCUAUGGGGUGCGAGAUCGCCUGAAGAAAAAGAAGGUAGUGGCCAUAAGCCCGUUUGUAGGAAAUAAGCCUGUGAGCGGCCCGGCAGCAAAGCUCAUGGAGGCCCGGGGAUUUCCGGCCAGCGAUGAAGGAGUGGCAGCACUUUUGGGCAAGGUAGACAUCUUUGUGGUCGACGGAAAGAGCGACUACACUGGGGACUGCGUGCGCAUGAAAACCCUUAUGAGGACAAAAAAUGAGAGUCUGGCAAUGGCGAAAGGCUUGCUGGAUUUGAUCGGAUGUUCUUAGGCGUAGACCACGGCACCACAGCUAUCAGGUUUGCCAGUGAAAAGGGCUCAAUCUAUGAGCUCUCGCGCAGCUCGGCCGCUGAUCUUUCUUACGAGCAGAUAUUAUCCCGGAUUGAAGAGAGC
RNAcentral lists this ribosomal RNA (407 nucleotides) under uncultured prokaryote. Its description in RNAcentral is "partial 16S ribosomal RNA". The record is from RNAcentral.